GUGUCAGCCGCCGCGGUAAGACAGAGGUGCCGAGCGUUAGGCGGAAUCACUGGGCUUAAAGCGUGUGUAGGCGGGUUGACAAGUACCUUGUGAAAUCCCACGGCUUAACCGUGGAACUGCUUGGUAUACUGUCAGUCUUGAGGCAUCUAGAGGCAACUGGAACAAACGGUGGAGCGGUGAAAUGCGUAGACAUCGUUUGGAACGCCCAUGGUGAAAACAGGUUGCUGGGGAUGUACUGACGCUGAGACACGAAAGCCAGGGGAGCAAACGGGAUUAGAAACCCUCGUAGUCC
This 292-nucleotide ribosomal RNA is filed under the name uncultured bacterium. Its description in RNAcentral is "partial 16S ribosomal RNA". It matches the Rfam family "Bacterial small subunit ribosomal RNA", at positions 505 to 796 of the family's 1533-position model. The record is from RNAcentral.